This 253-nucleotide ribosomal RNA is filed under the name uncultured bacterium. RNAcentral's name for it is "partial 16S ribosomal RNA". It matches the Rfam family "Bacterial small subunit ribosomal RNA", at positions 524 to 776 of the family's 1533-position model. The record is from RNAcentral.
UACGUAGGGGGCAAGCGUUGUCCGGAAUUAUUGGGCGUAAAGCGCGCGCAGGCGGUUUAUUAAGUCUGAUGUGAAAGCCCACGGCUCAACCGUGGAGGGCCAUUGGAAACUGGUAGGCUUGAGUGCAGGAGAGGAGAGCGGAAUUCCCGGUGUAGUGGUGAAAUGCGUAGAUAUCGGGAGGAACACCAGUGGCGAAGGCGGCUUCCUGGCCUGUUCUUGACGCUGAGGCGCGAAAGCUAGGGGAGCAAACGGG